This 74-nucleotide transfer RNA is filed under the name Ixodes scapularis (black-legged tick). It matches the Rfam family "tRNA". Rfam says of the family: Transfer RNA (tRNA) molecules are approximately 80 nucleotides in length. Their secondary structure includes four short double-helical elements and three loops (D, anti-codon, and T loops). Lineage: Eukaryota; Metazoa; Arthropoda; Arachnida; Ixodida; Ixodidae. The record is from Rfam by way of RNAcentral.
GUUGGGAUAGUCUAAUCGGUUAAGGCGCCGCCAUGGAUAGGUCAGGGCUGCGGGUUCGAUCCCCGCUCCUAGUU